AUACGGAGGGUGCAAGCGUUAUUCGAAAUCACUGGGCGUAAAGGACGCGUAGGCGGGUUGGCAAGUCAGAUGUGAAAUCCUACAGCUUAACUGUAGAACUGCAUUUGAAACUGCUAACCUAGAGUAUGGGAGGGGGAGAUGGAAUUAGUGGUGUAGGGGUAAAAUCCGUGGAUAUCACUAGGAAUACCGAAAGCGAAGGCGAUCUCCUGGAACAUAACUGACGCUAAGGCGUGAAAGCGUGGGGAGCAAACAGGAUUAGAAACCCUUGUAGUCC
Molecule: ribosomal RNA, 274 nt
Filed under: uncultured bacterium
Lineage: Bacteria
Description: partial 16S ribosomal RNA
Rfam family: Bacterial small subunit ribosomal RNA
Source: RNAcentral